GAUGAACGCUGGCGGCGUGCCUAAUACAUGCAAGUCGAGCGAAUGGAUUAAGAGCUUGCUCUUAUGAAGUUAGCGGCGGACGGGUGAGUAACACGUGGGUAACCUGCCCAUAAGACUGGGAUAACUCCGGGAAACCGGGGCUAAUACCGGAUAACAUUUUGAACCGCAUGGUUCGAAAUUGAAAGGCGGCUUCGGCUGUCACUUAUGGAUGGACCCGCGUCGCAUUAGCUAGUUGGGGAUGUAACGGCUCACCAAGGCAACGAUGCGUAGCCGACCUGCGAGGGUGAUCGGGCACACUGGGCAUGAGACACGGCCCAGACUCCUACGGGAGGCAGCAGUAGGGAAUCUUCCGCAAUGGACGAAAGUCUGACGGAGCAACGCCGCGUGAGUGAUGAAGGCUUUCGGGUCGUAAAACUCUGUUGUUAGGGAAGAACAAGUGCUAGUUGAAUAAGCUGGCACCUUGACGGUACCUAACCAGAAAGCCACGGCUAACUACGUGCCAGCCGCCGCAGUAA
This 515-nucleotide ribosomal RNA is filed under the name uncultured bacterium. Its description in RNAcentral is "partial 16S ribosomal RNA". It matches the Rfam family "Bacterial small subunit ribosomal RNA", at positions 28 to 523 of the family's 1533-position model. The record is from RNAcentral.